CCCUAUAUUCGAAAGUGAUUGUAGGUUGCCAGUGCCCUGGUCAUUGGUACUGAAGGGAGAGGAUGCAGAAAGUCUUUCCCCAUGUUUGGAGGACCCAACCUUAUCCUUGCCAAACCUUGGUGCUUUCCCACA
This is a small nucleolar RNA of Rattus norvegicus (Norway rat), 132 nucleotides long. Ensembl annotates it as small nucleolar RNA SNORA71. NCBI's taxonomy places the organism in Eukaryota, Metazoa, Chordata, Mammalia, Rodentia, Muridae. The record is from Ensembl.